CUGAACUCCUUAACGAUAGCACUGGCUUUCGGUUAAGUACUCACACGAAUUGUUUGAAUUGGAUUUUGUUUCUCGCAAGAGAAGGCAGGGUUCAGUUUUGUUCUUUAAAAAUAUGGAUAAUAUCUCGAAAACAUAAAUAAAUUGUGAUGAUUUAUUUGUGCGUUCAAACCAAGUAAAAAUCAAGCGAUCCGGUGUGCAUUAAGCACAUUAUCGUACCAGUCGUUUAUAUGAUCUUAAUUUUUCUCGCUUAUGCGGAAAAGGUUUUGGGUUAUAUAGUCAAGCGACUAAGCGUACACGGUGGAUGCCUUGGC
Molecule: unclassified non-coding RNA, 311 nt
Filed under: Oceanospirillales bacterium Y40
Lineage: Bacteria; Pseudomonadati; Pseudomonadota; Gammaproteobacteria; Oceanospirillales
Description: partial may contain 16S ribosomal RNA, 16S-23S ribosomal RNA intergenic spacer, and 23S ribosomal RNA
Source: RNAcentral